CCAGUACCGUAAACCGACACAGGUGGGUGGGUCGAGUAGACCAAGGCGCGCGAGAGAAACCUCUCUAAGGAACUCGGCACAUUAGCCCCGUAACUUCGGGAGAAGGGGUGCCUGCUUAGCAGGUCUCAGUAAAUUGCGUUUAGCGACUGUUUAACAAAAACACAGCACUCUGCCAAGUCGUGAAGACGACGUAUAGGGUGUGACACGUGACCAAUGCGGAAAGAUCAAGGCAACUUGUUAGCCGUAAGGCGAAGCUCGGAACCUAAGUCCCCGUGAAUGUCGGCCGUAACUAUAACGGUCCUAAGGUAGCGAAAUUCCUUGUCGGGUAAGUUCCGACCUGCACGAAUCGUGUAACGACUGAACGACUGUCUCGGAGAGGAUCUCGGCGAAACUGUAACGGCGGUGAAGAUGCCGCCUGCCCGCAGUAGGACGGAAAGACCCUAUGCACCUUUACUGUAAGCUCGUAUUGGGUUCUGAUUAAUAAUGCUUAGCGUAGGUGGGAGACUUUGAAGGCGUGGCUUCGGUUGCGCUGGAGUCGAAAUGUGAAACACCACUCUUUGUUAAUUAGGAUUCUAACCUCGAUUCCUGUGAAACCAGGCGAGGGACAGUGCGUGCGGGUCAGUUUGACUGGGGCGGUUUCCUCCCAAAGAGUAACGGAGGAGCGCGAAGGUACUCUCAGCACGGUUUGCAACCGUGCGUCGAGCGUAUGGGUAGAAGAGUGCUUAACUGUGAGACAUACAAGUCGAGCAGGUACGAAAGUAGGCCCAAAUGAUCCGAUAGUUUAAUGUGGAAUUGCUAUCGCUCAACGGACAAAAGGUACGCUAGGGAUAACAGGCUGAUCGCCGCCAAGAGUUCAUAUCGACGCGGCGGUUUGGCACCUCGAUGUCGGCUCAUCGCAUCCUGGGGCUGGAGAAGGUCCCAAGGGUCCGGCUGUUCGCCGGUUAAAGCGGUACGCGAGCUGGGUUCAGAACGUCGUGAGACAGUUCGGUCCUUAUCCACUGUGGGCGAAGGAAACUUGAGGGGUUCAUUCUCUAGUACGAGAGGACCGAGAAUGACGCACUUCUGGUGUGGCAGUUAUUCCGUCAGGGGUAGCGCUGCGUAGCCAUGUGCGGAAGAGAUAAGCGCUGAAAGCAUCUAAGUGCCAAGCUCAUCCCAAGAUAAUGUUUCCCGGACGCAAGUCCCUAAAGACCCCAGCGAGACUAGCUGGUUGAUAGGUUAGGCGUGUAAGUGGAGUAAUCCAUUCAGCGGACUAAUACUAAUCGGUCGUGCGGCUUGAUCGC
This 1280-nucleotide ribosomal RNA is filed under the name metagenome. Its description in RNAcentral is "bacterial LSU rRNA". It matches the Rfam family "Bacterial large subunit ribosomal RNA", at positions 1641 to 2925 of the family's 2925-position model. The record is from RNAcentral.